This is a long non-coding RNA of Dermacentor silvarum, 496 nucleotides long. RefSeq lists it as uncharacterized. The record is from RefSeq and is a predicted model, not a curated record. The transcript has 3 exons. NCBI's taxonomy places the organism in Eukaryota, Metazoa, Arthropoda, Arachnida, Ixodida, Ixodidae.
CGUUGAUGUAACAUCCUCCCCGACCGCUAUGAAGGUCACAACGCGUGCAUACAAGGCCGUCUGCCUCAAGGCGGAACUCGACGAAUCGGGAGCUGCAGCAAAAAGCAUGCAAGUGAGUCCCGCGUGUCAGCACCGAAAGCGCUCGACAGAAACCAUACGUCCUUUCGAUAAAUAGAGCAGUCAAAGAGGCUGCGAAAUCGGUAAAAAAACAUCGGCAGCAAUGGAGCCGCAAACAAAUAAAUCACGCAUAGGUAAUCUCAAAACUUGGAUUGCGGCAUUUUGCUUCUUGCUGAUGGGCAUGUUCCCUCCUUCAGGGGCCGUCUUCAUUGAAAACUUUAGCCAUGGGCGAAUUCUCCCCGUGGUGUGCUACUACAAGAUCAGCCAGGCUUUUCGCCCUUAUCCCAUGAACUAUACUGUGGAAGACAUACCCGGGAACCUUUGCAGCCACGUGAACCUGGCUUACUUCGGAUUGAACGAGACGACUUGGACUAUCAAG